Long non-coding RNA from Orbicella faveolata, 1174 nucleotides. RefSeq lists it as uncharacterized. Lineage: Eukaryota; Metazoa; Cnidaria; Anthozoa; Scleractinia; Merulinidae. The record is from RefSeq and is a predicted model, not a curated record.
UGAAUAUAUUGUAUGCCGAUUUACAUGUAAGGAUCAGGUUUGAUCUGAAGGGUAGGGAAAAUAGCGAAUUGUUUGGUUUUACAGUGUCGACGCGCCGCACAUCGUCACCCAAAUGUUCGUGGAACACCCCCUUCCGGAAGAUAGCCCACUUUGUUAGCGCGAGGCAGCAAAACGCCAUUACAACCAGGUUGAAGAGUUUUAGCAGUGCGAUAGAAUUCUUCGUUCUUGUAGCUUUCUUCAAUUCACUGUUAGCCAUGAGAGGAAUAUUCCCGCGCGUUUUGCCCUCGCGUGCUAACAAACUCAAGUUGUUAUUAUUUGUAAAAAUGCCUAAUGGCUGACUACCUAACUACCUAUAAAUUUCCUGCCAGAAGGUACGAAGAGGGAGGUUCGGUCCGGUCACAACAGAUUUCACUAAAAUAUCAAUCCGUGAAGGCAUGAAUGAUUUCGCUACCCGGGCAAAAUAUGGAUGUUGAAAUAUGGAUAUUGUCACGACACCAACUCGCGCGGGUAACGCGCGAGAUGAGUGAACGCUCCCAGCAUUCUCUGCAACAACAGUUCGUCCAUGUUGUUCAACCGCGAAAGUUGAACGAGACUGAAAAAAGGCAGACUAAAAGGGAAGAACUUCGCUUGGAGCUGGAGAGCUUUGUUGGUGAGCGAUUGAACUCGGAUUGCAGUGAUCACAUGUGAUACACGCAGCUGACUACAGUGGGUGGCCCAACUGUGAAAACUUGCAUCAACUUGCAUGCAUAGGUCAUCUUGGCCACAGUGAGUGCAAGUCAUCGCAGGUCAACCUGAAGACAAAAUACCUGAGGACAAGACAGGAGGAGAAUGGAUUAUUCAUAAUCCAUUUAUUUUUAUUAUCCAUAAGCUUAUUCUAGAAUGAUAUAUAUAUAUUUUUUUGCAAUCCAGGACCAGGUAAACACUUGUGUUGUUAUGCAAUGAUCAAAUCAAAACUUAACCUGGUUCCUUCAGGGGGAAUCCCCCAAGGGUAUCCCUACAGGGUACCCAAGUCAUCAAAUUCGACAACAGAAAAAAAUUAAAAUGCACCUUUUUUAAUUGAUGCACUAUUAUCGCAGGAUCCAAAAUAGUCAGGGAAAUUUUCAUUUUUCAAAAUCAGGGAAAGUUCAGGGAAUAAAUGGAGAAAAUGGGAAGGUUCCCUUUUGUACUGUACCUU